GAAGAUAGGUCGAGUGCUCUGUGAAGUACAGCACUGGAAAAGGAAGCCAUGGGCACGCUUGGAAAAUGCUGAGCUGCUUGUGAAGCUACACUGCAUGUUUAUGACUUGGUUUUCUAAGCAAUCUCCAGAGCUUGAACGGAUUACAGUGAUACUUUAACAAGGCUGCUGCAUCCAUCACCAGCUUUCAGUCAGUGAGAAAGCUAAAAGAUGGAAGAAUGUAAUUAUUUCCGCAUAAGCUAAGUGUUAGUGACUGAUUAUCAUGAGAACUUUGAUGCUUUAAACUUCUUCAUCCUCUGAAGGCAAGCAGUCCCUCUGAUGACACCGCGAAUCUGGGAAUGAAGAACUUCUUAGAGCUGAUUGGAAAUGGCAUUGCAGAGCUGAAACUUAACUGGAGGAAAUAUAUCUCCUGAAGAAGAAAAUAUAAUGCACUGUAAGGAUCUGUCUUCUGGUGAAAAAUUCAAGCCUAGAGAAAACUUGUCUGCUUUGUUAGGAAGAAUGGGUUGGACAAUUUUCUUCAAUUCCAAAGGAUAUCUGAAUGCCAUGCUGAGCUUAAUCUCUGCAGCAUGCUCUGUGCUUCUCAUCUCUUCCUGAUGCACUGCAUGGUUAUUCUGAAGGGAAGGAUAAAGAAACUGGCCACCAAGAUGGUAAUCACUAGUGGAAAUGAAGAAGAUAAAGGCAGUCAAGAAAAGGAAAGCAAAGAAGAAACCAUCUUGGCAAUGCUUGGAAUUAUUGGGACAAUUCUGAACCUCAUUGUGAUCAUUUUUGUGUAUAUUUAUACAACGUUGUAAACUAGAAGGCAUGCAAAUAGACCAGAUAAAAUGGCCAUUAAGAGUGACAACAAACAUUGCUGACUAUUGACAAGUUCUUUAAUCAGAAUUGACUCUGUAUUAUAUUAACACAUCAUAAAAGCACUGCCUGAAGGCAGCGAAGACUGAAGCACAAUUAAUUUAACAAGACUUUUUCACACAGUAAUAAGCUUAACUCUUCUUCCUGCCCUCUCCCUUUCUGUUUGGUUUUCAGUUUGGGGGAGAAUGACUGCAGUUAUAUAAGUUGUAGCUUUGAAGAAAUCCACCAGGGAUAUGUUGUUUUAAAACAAUAAAAAAAAAAAAGAAAAGAAAAUAAAAUACA
RNAcentral lists this long non-coding RNA (1128 nucleotides) under Zonotrichia albicollis (white-throated sparrow). RNAcentral describes it as "lncRNA (ENSZALG00000003820.1)". Lineage: Eukaryota; Metazoa; Chordata; Aves; Passeriformes; Passerellidae. The record is from RNAcentral.